This 71-nucleotide transfer RNA is filed under the name Loxodonta africana (African savanna elephant). It matches the Rfam family "tRNA". From Rfam's summary of the family: Transfer RNA (tRNA) molecules are approximately 80 nucleotides in length. Their secondary structure includes four short double-helical elements and three loops (D, anti-codon, and T loops). The record is from Rfam by way of RNAcentral. Lineage: Eukaryota; Metazoa; Chordata; Mammalia; Proboscidea; Elephantidae.
GCAGUGGUGGUUUGGUGGUAGACUUUUUGCCUUCCAUGCGGGAGACCCAGGUUCGAUUCCUGACCAAUGCA